Molecule: long non-coding RNA, 592 nt
Filed under: Ananas comosus (pineapple)
Lineage: Eukaryota; Viridiplantae; Streptophyta; Magnoliopsida; Poales; Bromeliaceae
Description: long non-coding RNA (ACOM_LNC009678)
Source: RNAcentral
GACAAAAAUAAGAAAGGUUCGUUCAUCGUCUUGCGAUGAAUUAUUUUUCGUUUUCAGAUUGUUAUCAUUAUUUAUAUAUUUUUUUUAAAUAUGGAUUGUGAGAAUUUUUGUGAGGUUUUAGGAUUGUAUGUGAAUUAGUAAAAUUUAUGUUUGAUUAUUAGAAUUGUAACCGACCGUUCCUAGAGCAAGUGGCAAAGGGCUUGAUGGUUGGUACCCGAGACCCAAGUUCGAAUCCUUGUUGAUUCACAUUUCUAGUUAAGUUUAUUUCUAAAUGAAAUAAACGAAGCGGGUAGCAUACCACCUAUCUCUCAAAAAAAAGAAAAAAAAAAAGAUUAUUAGAAUUGUAUAAAUAGAUUGUUAGAAUUUUUUGAAUUAUAAAUAUUGUAUGUGAUAUGUUUUAAUUUUUAGGUGAUUAUUAAAAUUCUAUAUAGAAAAUAGAAAAAAUAAUCAUCGUUUAAAUUUUAUUAAAUAUACUAAAAAAUUUUACCGCCUUCUAGUUGUUCUUCUAUAUUACUGUUGAGUUAGAAUAAAGCACUAUUAUUUAGCUAAAUAAAAUUUUGAUAAAAUUAUUUAUAAGUUAUAAAUUAACGAA